Molecule: ribosomal RNA, 481 nt
Filed under: uncultured bacterium
Lineage: Bacteria
Description: partial 16S ribosomal RNA
Rfam family: Bacterial small subunit ribosomal RNA
Source: RNAcentral
GAUGAACGCUGGCGGCGUGCUUAACACAUGCAAGUCGAACGAAGCACUUUAUUUGAUUUCCUUCGGGACUGAUUAUUUUGUGACUGAGUGGCGGACGGGUGAGUAACGCGUGGGUAACCUGCCUUGUACAGGGGGAUAACAGCUGGAAACGGCUGCUAAUACCGCAUAAGCGCACAGCAUCGCAUGAUGCAGUGUGAAAAACUCCGGUGGUAUAAGAUGGACCCGCGUUGGAUUAGCUAGUUGGUGAGGUAACGGCCCACCAAGGCGACGAUCCAUAGCCGACCUGAGAGUGUGACCGGCCACAUUGGGACUGAGACACGGCCCAAACUCCUACGGGAGGCAGCAGUGGGGAAUAUUGCACAAUGGGCGAAAGCCUGAUGCAGCGACGCCGCGUGAGCGAAGAAGUAUUUCGGUAUGUAAAGCUCUAUCAGCAGGGAAGAUAAUGACGGUACCUGACUAAGAAGCACCGGCUAAAUACGUG